ACUGGGGCCAUGGACAAGGGACAAGGCUGCUCUGCUACUGAGCCUUGACACCCAACUUCCAGGACCUGGGCUGAGACAGCAAGCAGAGCCAGCCGUGACCAGGAUCUUCGGCUCUGGCCCCUUGUCCUCUUCCAUUUAAACCCAGAGCUCAACUUGGCACACAAAGACAGACUUGGGGAGUCACUGAACCUUAUUAUCUAUCUGUCUUUCUAAUGAGGCCACAUUAAAUAAGUCUCUCAGUCUCUCA
Peromyscus leucopus (white-footed mouse) is the source of this 247-nucleotide long non-coding RNA. RefSeq lists it as uncharacterized. The record is from RefSeq and is a predicted model, not a curated record. NCBI's taxonomy places the organism in Eukaryota, Metazoa, Chordata, Mammalia, Rodentia, Cricetidae. The transcript has 2 exons.